Molecule: ribosomal RNA, 502 nt
Filed under: uncultured bacterium
Lineage: Bacteria
Description: partial 16S ribosomal RNA
Rfam family: Bacterial small subunit ribosomal RNA
Source: RNAcentral
GACGAACGCUGGCGGCGUGCUUAACACAUGCAAGUCGAACGGUGAAGGGGUCUGCUUUUGUGGGCCCUGGAUGAGUGGCGAACGGGUGAGUAACACGUGAGUAACCUGCCCCCUUCUUCUGGAUAACCGCAUGAAAGUGUGGCUAAUACGGGAUAUUCUGGGUCUGUCGCAUGAUGGGUCUGGGAAAGAUUGCGCCUUUGGGUGUUUUUGGUGGGGGAUGGGCUCGCGGCCUAUCAGCUUGUUGGUGGGGUGAUGGCCUACCAAGGCGGUGACGGGUAGCCGGCCUGAGAGGGUGGACGGUCACACUGGGACUGAGACACGACCCAGACUCCUACGGGAGGCAGCAGUGGGGAAUAUUGCACAAUGGGCGCAAGCCUGAUGCAGCGACGCCGCGUGAGGGAUGGAGGCCUUCGGGUUGUAAACCUCUUUCGCCAGUGAAGCAGGCCUGCUCCUUGUGGGUGGGUUGACGGUAGCUGGAUAAGAAGCGCCGGCUAACUACGUG